This 492-nucleotide long non-coding RNA is filed under the name Panax ginseng (ginseng). RNAcentral describes it as "long non-coding RNA (PGIN_LNC016071)". The record is from RNAcentral. Lineage: Eukaryota; Viridiplantae; Streptophyta; Magnoliopsida; Apiales; Araliaceae.
ACAAAUUGUGACUAAAACUCGAAUUACGUAAAAAUUAGAAUAAAAACCCACAAGAAAUCGCACCUUAAAAGCUUAUCUAGGGUUGCUUGAACUGAUUCGAGUCAGUGGCAGGGUAAGAAAUCGAACACAACUUCGUUCUUUUCGACCGAAUCGGAUGACGGAAAGGGGUUUGCUUUGUCUGAAAAUGAGAGAGAACACGCAUGAUUAGGGCUUGUUUUGGAAUAUCCAUAAAAAAUUUAUUAUACACAAAAGCUUAAAAAUUGGAGACAUACCAAAAUUAGGGCUUGUUUUGGAAGCACAUGAGAGAGAAUCGGAUGAGGGAAGAAAGUCGACCGAAUUGGGCUUCCUUUUGCUAUUACUCGCUUUUCUUUGUUCGAUUUUCCGGAUGAAGAAAAUCGAAUGUCUCCCGUUUGCGUUCCUUUUCAGAUGAGAGAAAUAAGAGCCCAGAGUAUAUCACGCGUUAUGUUUGAGUGAGGAGAGAGAAAUAUCACG